AGGUGUCUGAGUAUAUGGGGAUGAUUGUCAGACAUUCAAUGUCACAACGGUGAGAAAUGCAAAAGGGGAAAGAUUUUCCCCUUUAUAGAUGGCA
This is a small RNA of Pantoea ananatis LMG 20103, 94 nucleotides long. It matches the Rfam family "sraA". The record is from Rfam. Lineage: Bacteria; Pseudomonadati; Pseudomonadota; Gammaproteobacteria; Enterobacterales; Erwiniaceae.